RNAcentral lists this unclassified non-coding RNA (295 nucleotides) under Hevea brasiliensis (rubber tree). The record is from RNAcentral. Lineage: Eukaryota; Viridiplantae; Streptophyta; Magnoliopsida; Malpighiales; Euphorbiaceae.
GCAUGGGCCCUAUGAAGAUCCUGAGUCAACUGAUGUACUUUAGACAUAAGCUCCCGCCUUGCUACAACCAAGUUCUCAGCCUCUGCUCGUGCCUGCUGCAACUCCAACCUAACAGGCUCUGCAGCCUUCAACUCUGUUUCCAUCUUGGCAAUUUUAUCCAUAAGGCCCCUCAUUUGUUGUUCUCUUUCAGACUUGAUAGCACCAGUGUGAGCAUGCAACAUCUGCAACUCAUGCUGCGCAGCAGCAAGUUCCUGUCUCAAGUUUCCAUGUGUGGCAGCCAGCCUCUGGUUCUCUG